RNAcentral lists this long non-coding RNA (7084 nucleotides) under Salmo salar (Atlantic salmon). RNAcentral's name for it is "lncRNA (ENSSSAG00000085393.1, ENSSSAG00000089875.1)". The record is from RNAcentral. Lineage: Eukaryota; Metazoa; Chordata; Actinopteri; Salmoniformes; Salmonidae.
GGCUCUAUAGUAUUGGAGAAAAGUUGAAAAAACUGACCCUCCGUUACAUUGUGUCGUGUCAUGCCGUAACGUACAGCACGCGUAAAGCAACUAUUUCUGUCUUACAAUCUCUCUCCACCACUUCUCUCAUCGUUUAAAAACAAGAAAUGGACAGUGACGGGGGUAAGGGGGAAUACCAAGUCAUUUUUUGCGUCGUCACUGCAAGCAAUCAUGACUCUCAAAAGACAAUGUUUACUUCUGAAGAUCACUUUAGCACCGCCCUAAAAACCCGAUUCAAAUUCGACACAAACCUUGAAAUAGAUGAAUUACCUGACGCAUGAAAAAAGUCAUGACUGGGCUGAUGAAAACAGGAUAUGCAGGUACAAUUUUAUAAAUGCCGACAGACAAUUUGUUUGUUUGACAUGGUGAGAUCCUUUUGUGUCUGUAAUAUAUUAUGUAAGAAAUGGCAGUGAAAAGGCUUUUAUGCGCAAAUAUUGAUACAAUAACCAUCAUAUCCAAGUAAACUUGGAGUCACGCAAUGAUAUGUUGUGUGGUCCUUCCACUACGACUCAGGAAACCAUAUAGUUUAUUAGGCUGCAGAUUAAAUUAAUUAUGAUGAACUUCACAGUGUUGAAAGUACACGCGAUGAGCUUGAUGCUCCUUUCCAAUAAAUAUUGAGGGUCUUAUUCCGGUGACAUGAUGAUCGAUACUUGGUUGCCAUAAUAAUGUAGGUAGCCUACCUGCACUUUAUCUGCCAACUGUUGGCUAGAGCACAAGUGCCAAAACCAGAGUGGGCACAUUUUCUUUAUAAAGCAAGUUUUUGUGACAAAACCAUCAGUAGAGUUGAGAAUGAGAUAGAAACCCAUUUAACUUGUAUUUUUCAUUCGGUCCAUGAUAAUUUAACCGCAAAAGUUAUUUUAAUGUGUACUACGUCAUAAUACACAGCCUUUUAUUCCCAGUACAUGGGUUUGAUGGAAACACAUUUCUGGUGUGAAAAUAUUUUUGUGCAUGUUUUAUAAUAUUCGCACGAAAAUCUGCUGCAAAUUGGAUGGAAACCUAGCUAAUAUCACAAAAUGGCAUGCAGAUUUUUUAUCAAGUCCGUUGGGUUUUCACUAGUUACCACACCCACAAAGUCAAUAUUGGCCAAAACGUAGAAAUUCAUGAAGACAAACCUUUGCUUUUUGGUCUUAAUUUAAGAUUAGGUAUAAAGUUAGCAGUGUCGUUAGGUUAGGCUUAGGUAUAAAAUCAGAUUUUAAGAAGUGAAAUGGAAUAGGCGGGAUCACCGACAACGAUGAGACAGCCAAUAGGGAGGAGGUCAGAGACCUGGUCGUGUGGUGCCAGGAUAACAACCUCUCCCUCAACGUGAUCAAGACAAAGGAGAUGAUUGUGGACAACAGGAAAAAGAGGACCCCAAGCAUGCCCCUAUUCUCAACGACGGGGCUGUAGUGGAGCAGGUUGAGAGCUUCAAGUUCCUUGAUGUCCUCAUCCCCAAAAAACUAUCAUGGUACAAACACACCAAGACAGUCGUGAAGAAGGCAUGACAAAACCUAUUCCCCCUCAGGAGACUGAAAAGAUUUGGCAUGGGUCUUCAGAUCCUCAAAAAGUUAUAUGCACCAUUGAGAGCAUCCUGACUUGUUGCAUCACUGCCUGGUAUGGCAACUACUCGACCGAAAGGCACUACAGAGGGUAGUACAUCACUGGGGCCAAGCUUCCUACCAUCCAAGACCUCUAUACCAGGCCGUGUCAGAGGAAGACCCAAAAAAUUGUCAAAGACUCCAGCCACCCUAGUCAUAGACUGUUCUCUCUGCUACCACACGGCAAGCGGUAACGGAGCGCCAAGUCUAGUUCCAAAAGGCUUCUUAACAGCUUCUACCUCCAAGCCAUAAGACUCCUGAACAGGUAAUCAAAUGGCUACCCAGAAUACUUGCAUUGCCCCCUAAUUUAUGCUGCUGAUACUCUCUGGUUAUUAUCUAUGCAUAGUCACUUUAACUCUACCUACAUGUAAAUCAAUCAAUCAAAUGUAUUUAUCAAGUCCUUUAUACAUCAGCAUAUGCCACAAAGUGCUAUACAGAAACCCAGCCUAAAACCCCAAACAGCAAGCAAUGCAGAUGUAGAAGCACGGUGGCUAGGUUAAACUCGCUAGAAAGGCCGGAACCUAGGAAGAAACCUAGAGAGGAACCAGGCUCGGAGGGGUGGCCAGUCCUCUUCUGGCUGUGCCGGGUGGAGAUUAUAAAAGUACAUGGCCAAGAUAACCAGCAGGGUCAAAUAAUAAUAAUCACAGUGGUUGUAGAGGGUGCAACAGGUCAGCACCUCAGGAAUAAAUGUCAGUUGGCUUUUCAUAGCCGAUCAUUUAGAGUUAGAGACAGCAGGUGCGGUAGAGAGAGAGAGAGCCAAAAACAGAAGAUUCGGAACAAGUCAGGGUUCCAUAGCCACAGGCAGAACAGUUGAAACUGGAGCAGCAGCACGACUAGGUGGACUGGGGACAGCAAGGAGUCAUCAGGCCAGGUAGUCCUGAGGCAUGGUCCUAGAGGGAGCAUAAUUAAAACUUCUAUGGGCUACGUGGGACGCUAGCGUUCCACCUGCGGGACACAGCCAGUGAAAUAUCAGGGCGGCAAUUUCAAAAACAACAAAAUGUCAUAAUUCAACUUUCUCAAACAUACAACUAUUUUACACCAUUUUAAAGAUACACUUCUCGUUAAUCUAACCACAUUGUCUGAUUUCAAAAGGCUUUACAGUGAAAGCAAAACGUUAGAUUAUGUUAGGAGAGUACAUAGACAAAAAUAAUCACAUUUUCCAAGCAAGGACAUGUGUCAAUAAAACCCAAAACACAGCUAAAUGAAGCACUAACAUUUGACAAUCUUCAUCAGAUGACACUCCUAGGACAUUAUGUUAUACAAUACAUGUAUGUUUUGUUCGAUAAAGUUCAUAUUUAUAUCCAAAAACAGCAUUUUACAUUGGCGCGUGAUGUUCACAAAAUGUAUUCCCACCAAAACGUCCAGUGAAUGUGCACAUCAAUUUACAAAAAUACUCAUCAUAAACGUUGACAAAAUAUAUAACAAUAAUUUUAAGAAUUAUAGAUAGACUACUCCUUUAUGCAACUGCUGUGUCAGAUUUUAAAAUAGCUUUACGGAGAAAGCACAUUUUUCAAUAUUCUGAGUACAUAGCUCGCCAUCACGGUGAGCAAUUCAGACACCCGCCAAGUUCGGGGCAACCUAAACUCAGAAUUAGUAUUACAAAUAUUCUCUUACCUUUGCUGAUCUUCGUCAGAAUGCACUCCAAGGACUGCUACUUCCACAAGAAAUGUUGUUUUUGUUCGAAAUAAUCCAUAUUUAUGUACAAAUACCUCCGUUUUGUUCGUGCGUACAGAUCACUGAUCCAAAGGCAUAAUGCGCGAGCACGGAACGAGAGACGAAAAGUCAAAAUGUUCCAUUACCGUACUUAGAAGCAUGUCAAACGCUGUUUAAUAUCAAUCUUUAUGGUAUUUUAACGUGAAAUUGCGAUAAUAUUCCAACCGGACAAUAGCAUAUUCAUUCAAGAAGAAAAAGAAGGAACGGCGUGCUCGUGUGACCGCGCAUAUCCAAUCCCUUUGUUGCCAGGUAGACCACUCAGUAACUGAGCUCCUAUUAUCUGCCCAGUGACAGGAAAAUGCUCAAACCACUUUCUGAAGGCUUUAGACAGCCAAUGGAAGCCUUAGGAAGUGCAACGUCACCCCACAGACACUUGAGCUUCGAUAGAGAAUCAAAAGAAGAACUACAAUUCUCAGACUUUUCACGUCCUGCUUGGAUUUUUCUCAGGUUUUUGCCUGCCAUAUGAGUUCUGUUAUACUCACAGACACCAUUCAAACAGUUUUAGAAACUUCAGAGUGUUUUUUAUCCAAAUCUACUAAUAAUAUGCAUAUUCUACUUUCUGGGCCAGAAUAGUAACCUGUUUAAAUUGGGUACGUUUUUCAUCCGGCCGUGAAAAUACUGCCCCCUAGCCCAGACAGGUUAAAUUCACACAUCACACCAGAUAAGACAGGAGAAAUACUCCAGAUAUAACAGACUGACCCUAGCCACCGAACACAUGAACUAUUGCGACAUAAUUACUGGAGGUUGAGACAGGAGGGGUCGGGAGACACUGUGGAGGGGUCGGGAGACACUGUGGCCCAGUCCGACUACACCCCCAGACAGGGUCACAGGUUACUCAAUUACCUCGAUUAACCUGUACUCCUUCACAUUGACUCUGUACCGGUACCUCCUGUAUAUAGCCUCGCUACUGUUAUUUUACUGCUGCUCUUUAACUAUUUGUUAUUUUUAUUUUUUACUUAUCUGUUUUUUACUUAACACUUAUUUUUCAUAAAACUGCAUUGUUGGUUAAGGGCUUGUAAGUAAGCAUAUCACUGUAAGGUCUACAUCUGUUGUAUUCGGCACAUGUGACAAAUACGAGUUUAUUUGAUUUUAACAUUUGAUUUGAUGCAGUUGCCCCACCUGUUUAGCUAAAAAAAUAAAUGCAAUAAAUAAUAAUUGUUGUUGCCUGUUUUGCAUGUUGUUUGGGCAUUAAUACAUGUCACAUAUCAGUUUGCAUACAAUACAAAAUCUAUAGGUAGAGCAACAACAAAAAAAUGCAAGCCCCUUGCUGCCAUAAAGUUACAUUAAAAGUGCCCAUCUAAGAAGGCUCAAGGUCAUUGGCCACAGAUAAAAUGACAUCAAAUGACGUUAUAUCUACCAUAGCUUUGAUUGGACUGAUCAUGUCAAUAUCAUACUUUCAAAAAUCUUAGCUAGCAAGAUAGUAGUCAUCAUCAUGAAUCAAGUUGAUAAUCUACUGGCAAAUCCUUUUCAAUCCUUGUCUAGAGAAGAGAAAUGAUUAAUUCUAGAUAAAACGUAUCGGUGCUCAUCGGCCAUUGGACAUAAACAUUACACAACAAGUUGGAAAUCUCAAAUUCAACAAUGAGUGGUUUGGAAGGAAUCAGUGGCUAACUUGCAUGCGUUGUAAAGCAAUCACUAGCCUGCUAUUCAGUGGAGUGGGUGUGUGGUCCAAGUCUGGGUUUAAGGGUCUCUUUCCAAGCUUAAAAGGAUAAACAUUCAACACGAUACGCCAGAAAAGGUUGCGUACAUUAGCCAUGCUGUCAAUCCAGCAUGACUUCUGCCGUGUUUAAAACAACUGUAAAGCGUAGAACUGGGAAAUCUCAGACUUCAGUGAGUUCAAGACAACUGGGAACUCUGAAAAAAAUUGGCUCCGACUGGGAAAAUACACUUUGAACUGUCAUCCAACUCAGAAUUCCAAGUCAGGAACUCAGGCCUCUUUCUAGAGCGCCAACCUUGUUUUUUUCCCCAGUUACUAUUUAUCUUGAAAGCACCAUACAUCCAGAGAAUGCCAGACUUUGACAAUACUGUUUGAUGACAAAAUUGGACCAUGAAGGACCGACGCUACCUUCCGGUUCAAGUGAGCACAGCACAACAAGGUGAGUCCAAAAAUGUAUUGUACGUUGCUGCAUAAAUUAUGAAAUAUGCCAGGGAGAUAUGUCUACUGUAUCAAAGAAAAUAAUACUAAGUGUACACUAUCGUUCAAAAGUUUGGGUCACUUAGAAAUGUCUUUGUUUUCUAAAGAAAAGUAAUUUUUUUUUACUAUAAAAUAACAUCAAAUUGAUCAGAAAUACAGUGUAGACAUUGUUAAUGUUGUAAAUGACUGAUUUUCUUUUCAGUUUGAUGUUAUUUUAAUGUAGAAAAAAUGUGCUUUUCUUUCAAAAACAAGAACAUUUCUAAGUGACCCCAAACUUUUGAAUGGUAAUGUAUGUUGUGUAGUAAGCUGUUAGUAGCCCAUAUGCCUCACCCUAAUAAUUUGGUCCGUUUCCCCCUCAUAACUUAGCCUACUGUUCUGACUUGGUGGCGCACAUGUAACCUACAGCCUGUUUUAGAGAAAUGUAAUCAUCAAAUAUUGUAAGAGCUUUCAUUGUCUGCUUAUAUGCCCCCUUUAUUUAUUCUAUGGUUCUGACUUGAUGUUCAGGGAGAUUGCUGUAAGAAAGGCCCAUGUUCUGAUUUCUGUCGCUGUAAGAAUGGCUCAUGUUCUGAAAAGUGCUGAACAAAUAGUUUUAUUGACUACGUCCAUCCUAGCUCCCUCAUUAAUGUCUUAAUCGAAAUUACUGAUUGCCUCUUAUCCGCUCGUCGUCCCCUUAUGCCAUAGUUUGUACAUCUCAAUUGUCAGCAGAAACCACAUUUGUUUAAUAAGCAAGUCAGCUAUUUUUUUUGGAAGGCAGUAAAUGAGGCUGAAUGAACUAUUUCACUGCUAGACAAGGCACUACUGAUAGCCAGGUGUAGCAGUGGCAAGGAUUCAUCCCAUGGUGCUGAAAAGAAAGCUCUGCAGUUGGAACAUCUUUAUGUAGGCCCUAACAGUUUGUGUGCACCAUUUGUCACUGUUAUAGUGCAAUUAAUGUAUUGUUUAGUGUUGUGUUGUGGUUUUUGCUGGCAUGCAUGAUUAUUAUAUAUUUUUUUCCCCACCAGGAUAUACAAGUCGCCACUGGCGGGAUGUAUGACUUUGUGGCUGCGGUAAAUGGUGACAACCGCUCUGUUGUCAUUACAGGCAUCAAUCAUGAAGUAGACAAACUGAUACAUGAAUCCUAAAUACUGGUACCAAUUUAGUUUGUUAAUCUCUGCAAGUUGGUUUUUUAAUGAUCUAUUGGAGCCUGGCAGAGAUAAAUACAAACAUACUCUAAGCCAGGAAAUGUCUCUGCAUCCAGGUUGAAGCGUGCAAUCUACAGGAACAUGGAGCACUCCGUGCCGGUGCUACAGAGACAGACUGGUCCAAGGACAUCCAGAGCCUUCUGACCAAGCACCUGCAAUCUCUCCAGAGCACAGAGAAGUGAGUCUGCUGGUCUAUGGAACUCUAGAGCAGCACAUCACAAAACCUGCCACCCUGUCGUCAGCUAUCCAUAGACUUUCAAUGGCCACAUUUUGGGGAUGACCAAAUGCAAUAAAAUGUUCUAUAAACAGCUCAUUCUCAUAUUGUAAGAUUACAAAACAAAAACUCUAAGGGUAUUUGUCAUGUCGGUUAUCACAUUUUUACCAACUUCUGUGAUAACUUAAACAUCAAGACAAAUACACUUAGAGCGUAUGUCUAAAAUAAAUGCAAG